RNAcentral lists this ribosomal RNA (142 nucleotides) under Orbiocrella petchii. RNAcentral's name for it is "partial large subunit ribosomal RNA". Lineage: Eukaryota; Fungi; Ascomycota; Sordariomycetes; Hypocreales; Clavicipitaceae. The record is from RNAcentral.
CAGGCCAGCAUCAGUUUGCCGCGGGGGAUAAAGGCUUCGGGAACGUGGCUCCCUCGGGAGUGUUAUAGCCCGUUGCACAAUACCCUGGGGCGGACUGAGGUUCGCGCAUCUGCUAGGAUGCUGGCGUAAUGGUCAUCAGCGA